AUCCAACUAAUGAGUCUCAAAUAGAACAAAAUGCGCAUCCUGGAU
RNAcentral lists this non-coding RNA (45 nucleotides) under Schistosoma haematobium. Lineage: Eukaryota; Metazoa; Platyhelminthes; Trematoda; Strigeidida; Schistosomatidae. The record is from RNAcentral.